ACUAAAGUACUACAAGUCCUCUGCUGCCAUCUGCUGUGACUGGCUCCAAAUAUACAAGAGAUUAACGGACGCUUCCUUAUCAAGAGAAACCCGACUGACCGGUGCUCAGCAGAUGUUCCUAACUACGAGUGUAACAACAAACUACAAGUACAACAUGAAGAAAACUACAGACACACAGUACCAUGUGGAACCCGGCCCGAGCUUUUGCUUAUCCCAAUACUAAGAUUUCCAAUAGGGUCAAGGGUGCAAUGAUCUUCAGACUCUACAUCAAUACAACGGCAAGAAACCAAUAACACAAAGAGUGGGAGACAAAACUUCACUUCCAAGAUUCCCAUGCCAUUUUACCCAGGAGCCAAUGC
Cynoglossus semilaevis (tongue sole) is the source of this 359-nucleotide long non-coding RNA. RefSeq lists it as uncharacterized. NCBI's taxonomy places the organism in Eukaryota, Metazoa, Chordata, Actinopteri, Pleuronectiformes, Cynoglossidae. The record is from RefSeq and is a predicted model, not a curated record. The transcript is spliced from 3 exons.